UGGGGAAUUUUGGACAAUGGGCGCAAGCCUGAUCCAGCCAUUCCGCGUGAGUGAAGAAGGCCUUCGGGUUGUAAAGCUCUUUCGGCAGGAACGAAACGGUGGGGGCUAAUACCCCCUGCUAAUGACGGUACCUGAAGAAGAAGCACCGGCUAACUACGUGCCAGCAGCCGCGGUAAUACGUAGGGUGCGAGCGUUAAUCGGAAUUACUGGGCGUAAAGCGUGCGCAGGCGGUUAUGUAAGACAGAUGUGAAAUCCCCGGGCUUAACCUGGGAACUGCGUUUGUGACUGCAUAACUCGAGUGUGGCAGAGGGGGGUGGAAUUCCACGUGUAGCAGUGAAAUGCGUAGAGAUGUGGAGGAACACCGAUGGCGAAGGCAGCCCCCUGGGUCAACACUGACGCUCAUGCACGAAAGCGUGGGUAGCAAACAGG
This 429-nucleotide ribosomal RNA is filed under the name uncultured Sterolibacteriaceae bacterium. Its description in RNAcentral is "bacterial SSU rRNA". It matches the Rfam family "Bacterial small subunit ribosomal RNA", at positions 355 to 776 of the family's 1533-position model. Lineage: Bacteria; Pseudomonadati; Pseudomonadota; Betaproteobacteria; Nitrosomonadales; Sterolibacteriaceae. The record is from RNAcentral.